Non-coding RNA from Acanthosepion pharaonis, 102 nucleotides. NCBI's taxonomy places the organism in Eukaryota, Metazoa, Mollusca, Cephalopoda, Sepiida, Sepiidae. The record is from the annotation of a GenBank genome assembly.
CACAUUGAAAAACCUAUUUUCAUAUGAUCACUGAAGUUAAGCAAUGUCAAGCCUGGUCAGUACCAAGAUGGAUGACCACUUGGGAAUAACAGGUGCUGUAAG